UUGGGUGAGAGACCUAAAACUGUUCUAGUUUUUUGGGUGAGGAAAAAAUCAAAGAGAAGAGAGGAUUCAUCUAAUUUUUCUUCACCAUCCAGCAUCCUCCUUUAAUCCAUCUUCAACAUUGAAAAGAUUUGAGGUGAGCGAAGAAGGAGAUCAAGUUAGAUCUGCCAUCAGAAGCCGACUGUACGAGCUAGCACUCUUGCAGAGGGCUAAUCAAUCCAAGGGGCUUCGUGUGGACCAUCCAUAGAGGUCGGAUGCUUGUGCAGCUAUGAGCAACC
Molecule: long non-coding RNA, 275 nt
Filed under: Elaeis guineensis (African oil palm)
Lineage: Eukaryota; Viridiplantae; Streptophyta; Magnoliopsida; Arecales; Arecaceae
Description: long non-coding RNA (EGUI_LNC064202)
Source: RNAcentral